AUGUUAAAAUAAAUAAUAAGACCACGGUUCUCGUCCGAUCACGAAAGUUAAGCAACGUCGGGCCCGGUCAGUACUUGGGAGGGUGACCACCUGGGAACACCGGGUGCUGUAGGCU
This is a non-coding RNA of Cordylochernes scorpioides, 115 nucleotides long. The record is from the annotation of a GenBank genome assembly. Lineage: Eukaryota; Metazoa; Arthropoda; Arachnida; Pseudoscorpiones; Chernetidae.